GAAUUGGCAUUACUGCUCAUUAAAAAUGGCGUCGUCAGAGUGUUUACAACGAAAUAAAAUUUUUCAGUAUUUCUGUAAUCGUAACGUUAAUUCUACAUAUUUUUUUUUGAUAAUUAAGUACUGUUUUAUAUAAAUAAUCAAUAAUUGAUAAAAGUUUUGUGGAAGGCAAGAAAAAAAUUAGUAUAUUCAGAUAAAAGUUUUUGACACGAAAACAUAACCUAAAAAGUUUAACAUCGAAAUGUUAAACAAAAAAAUAGGGAAUUUUUUUUGUCACCUCCAUGACGUGUACAACAAGCGAUGAGCAACCAAGAAAGACCAACAGCCCAUAUUGUUCUACUGAGUCCAACAUAAAAUGCCGCCGACAAUAUGGAAAUAUAUCUUUUCCAAAUUCCAAAAAGUACAAAGAGAUUACAAGAACUUCCUAGCAUCCAACAAAGGGCAACAGUUCUCUAAAAAAAAGGGAAUUUUUUUUUUAUCAAAAUUUCUCCCAAAUGGCCAACAAUCUAAGAGUGAAGAGAAUUUACUGUUUUUAAAGAUCACCAAUAAAAAGUGUUCGUUCCCGAAACGUUUUAUUCAAAAUUAAUCCAAUUUCCAUCAUGCUACAAGUGGCCGGCAAACACAAACCAAGUGUGAUUAUAUUCUGAAAAAAUAAUGAAGAAAACAAGAUCGGGAAAUUUUUAUGAUCAGACUAACAUUGAAAGAAACCAUCAAAAACAACAACAACAGGGACAAUUUUUAUAAAAAAGUUUGCUUACCUAAUAUGACCACUAUCACCACUACUACUUUGUCUACUGUGCUGGCUAUGAGAAUUUAAGGAUCCAUAGCCGGAUCCUUUGCUGAGCUGACUCGUGUUACUGCUAUUUCUCGAGUGUCCAGAUUCUGCUUGUGUUUCCGUUGAAGCAUCUACUGGAAGAACUGAAGGAAUUACCUCGCUCAAUGUCAUUGGAUCGUACAACUCCGUCCCGCUUAGUGUAUAAAAAAUUGAAGAAAAACGAAAAGAAAAAAACUAAACGGUAAAAAAUGGAAAGAAAAAUUAAAAAAAAAAAAAAAACGAAAUAGAAAGAUGACCUGAAGAGAAGAGUGCCGGCCUCUUCUUAGGAAGACUGCC
Molecule: long non-coding RNA, 1108 nt
Organism: Leptopilina boulardi
Lineage: Eukaryota; Metazoa; Arthropoda; Insecta; Hymenoptera; Figitidae
Exons: 6
Source: RefSeq, a predicted model, not a curated record